Molecule: ribosomal RNA, 698 nt
Filed under: uncultured Planctomycetota bacterium
Lineage: Bacteria; Pseudomonadati; Planctomycetota
Description: bacterial SSU rRNA
Rfam family: Bacterial small subunit ribosomal RNA
Source: RNAcentral
UUUAGGCAUGCAAGUCGAGCGCGAACGAGAGCUUCGGCUCUCCAGUAGAGCGGCGAAAGGGUGAGUAAUGCUUGGGCAACCUGCCCCCUGCACUGGGAUAGCCGCUGGAAACGGCGGGUAAUACCGGAUGGUCUCGCGACGUCCACGGGCGCUGCGAGUAAAGGUGGGGAUCCUUCGGGACCUACCAGCGGGGGAGGGGCUCGAGUCCUAUCAGCUUGUUGGUGCGGUAAUGGCGCACCAAGGCGUAGACGGGUAGCCGGACUGAGAGGUUGGCCGGCCACACUGGCACUGAGACACUGGCCAGACUCCUACGGGAGGCUGCAGUCGAGAAUCUUCCGCAAUGGGCGCAAGCCUGACGGAGCGACGCCGCGUGGAGGAAGAAGGCCUUCGGGUUGUAAACUCCUGUCAGGGUUUAUGAAUGCGGCCGAGACGAAUAGCCUCGGUCGUUGACAAAGGACCCAAAGGAAGCCACAGCUAACUUCGUGCCAGCAGCUGCGGUAAUACGAAGGCGGCGAGCGUUGUUCGGAUUCACUGGGCAUAAAGGGCGUGUAGGCGGGACGGCAAGCGGCGUGUGAAAGCCCGGAGCUCAACUCCGGAAUGGCACGCCGAACUGCCGCUCUAGAGGACAGGGAGGGGGAUGUGGAACUCUAGGUGUAGCGGUGAAAUGCGUAGAUAUCUAGAGGAACGCCGGUGGCGAA